RNAcentral lists this ribosomal RNA (1296 nucleotides) under Escherichia coli. RNAcentral's name for it is "partial 23S ribosomal RNA". It matches the Rfam family "Bacterial large subunit ribosomal RNA", at positions 453 to 1751 of the family's 2925-position model. The record is from RNAcentral. Lineage: Bacteria; Pseudomonadati; Pseudomonadota; Gammaproteobacteria; Enterobacterales; Enterobacteriaceae.
CCAUCCUCCAAGGCUAAAUACUCCUGACUGACCGAUAGUGAACCAGUACCGUGAGGGAAAGGCGAAAAGAACCCCGGCGAGGGGAGUGAAAAAGAACCUGAAACCGUGUACGUACAAGCAGUGGGAGCACGCUUAGGCGUGUGACUGCGUACCUUUUGUAUAAUGGGUCAGCGACUUAUAUUCUGUAGCAAGGUUAACCGAAUAGGGGAGCCGAAGGGAAACCGAGUCUUAACUGGGCGUUAAGUUGCAGGGUAUAGACCCGAAACCCGGUGAUCUAGCCAUGGGCAGGUUGAAGGUUGGGUAACACUAACUGGAGGACCGAACCGACUAAUGUUGAAAAAUUAGCGGAUGACUUGUGGCUGGGGGUGAAAGGCCAAUCAAACCGGGAGAUAGCUGGUUCUCCCCGAAAGCUAUUUAGGUAGCGCCUCGUGAAUUCAUCUCCGGGGGUAGAGCACUGUUUCGGCAAGGGGGUCAUCCCGACUUACCAACCCGAUGCAAACUGCGAAUACCGGAGAAUGUUAUCACGGGAGACACACGGCGGGUGCUAACGUCCGUCGUGAAGAGGGAAACAACCCAGACCGCCAGCUAAGGUCCCAAAGUCAUGGUUAAGUGGGAAACGAUGUGGGAAGGCCCAGACAGCCAGGAUGUUGGCUUAGAAGCAGCCAUCAUUUAAAGAAAGCGUAAUAGCUCACUGGUCGAGUCGGCCUGCGCGGAAGAUGUAACGGGGCUAAACCAUGCACCGAAGCUGCGGCAGCGACGCUUAUGCGUUGUUGGGUAGGGGAGCGUUCUGUAAGCCUGCGAAGGUGUGCUGUGAGGCAUGCUGGAGGUAUCAGAAGUGCGAAUGCUGACAUAAGUAACGAUAAAGCGGGUGAAAAGCCCGCUCGCCGGAAGACCAAGGGUUCCUGUCCAACGUUAAUCGGGGCAGGGUGAGUCGACCCCUAAGGCGAGGCCGAAAGGCGUAGUCGAUGGGAAACAGGUUAAUAUUCCUGUACUUGGUGUUACUGCGAAGGGGGGACGGAGAAGGCUAUGUUGGCCGGGCGACGGUUGUCCCGGUUUAAGCGUGUAGGCUGGUUUUCCAGGCAAAUCCGGAAAAUCAAGGCUGAGGCGUGAUGACGAGGUACUACGGUGCUGAAGCAACAAAUGCCCUGCUUCCAGGAAAAGCCUCUAAGCAUCAGGUAACAUCAAAUCGUACCCCAAACCGACACAGGUGGUCAGGUAGAGAAUACCAAGGCGCUUGAGAGAACUCGGGUGAAGGAACUAGGCAAAAUGGUGCCGUAACUUCGGGAGAAGGCACGC